RNAcentral lists this long non-coding RNA (1610 nucleotides) under Daucus carota (carrot). RNAcentral describes it as "long non-coding RNA (DCAR_LNC003803)". Lineage: Eukaryota; Viridiplantae; Streptophyta; Magnoliopsida; Apiales; Apiaceae. The record is from RNAcentral.
CUGAUCAAAGCAAGAUGACCUCUAGUUAACGAAAUGCAUUUACGCAAGAAAAGAAUGAGAAUGAUCCAAGUGCAAUGGCUUCUAAUUUCUAUCCUAAGAGGUUUUUGGAUGAAAAUGCAGUUAGACAAGAGUGAAAAAUGUAUGAUCAAGGUAUGAUGGCCUCUAACUCUACAAUAUCUGAGCAUGUGACAAACAGAUAUAACUAUUAGUUUAAUUUAUAUAUCAUAACUUCAGGAAAAGGUCACUAUAUAAAACUUUAUCUAUUAUUGUAAGUCUACUGAAUAUUUUAACAUCCCUCAAUUUGUAACCUAAUCAAUAAUAUGCAUUAACAACACCUAAGACCUAAUAAUAAAAAGCUAGCUUAGUUGUGAUCAACUACUUGAAUUCUACAAAUUUCACACUACCCUCUAUAUGUUAGUGCAGUACAAUUUAACUCAAUACAAAAGUGGUCACCCCUUGUGCAUGAUAACUUAAAAGCAUUCAUUUAUCGAUCAGAGGUUGCUCCCAGAUCGAAUCAAAAAAAGUAACUGCCUUAAGAAGUAUGGUUCAUGUACAAGUAUAACACCUGUUGACACCCUUCUUCCAGCAUUAAGUUAUGAAAACACUGCAGAGCAACUACACAUAUAUUAUCCACGUUUACCUUAAUUUUUGGAUUGUCAGACUCAGCAUUGUCGUAUUUCCCAUCUCCUUGAAUCCAAUUGAGCAAGCCUACAAGAAGAAGAGCUUAGAUAAACAAAAUUUGAAAAGAAUUUCAACACAAACACUUUUCAAGUGAAUCAUGAAACAGUAUCACCUGAACUCUUUUAAAUUAAACAUGAGAUAGUGUUUUUGCUAUUGUCAACGAUCCAUUGGUGGCCUGGCCCUGGCGGGCAUCAAUCUCAAUGAAAUCUAGUUACAUUCUCAAAAUAUUCUCUAAAAUAGCCUACUGAACUCUUUCCCUACCUCAGGUUCUCAGUGGUCCCUACUAAUGAAAAAAGUAUAACACUUGAAUCUGGUACCGUAACAUCAUUAGUGGAAAAGAGCAACUUUAAGAUUGGAUAAAAUUCGUUAAAGGUGCUAUAUGCUAAUUCUUGCGGAAAAUUUAUCCUGAUGAAUAUAUUGGUGGAGGGGGGAGGAGAAUGUGUAUAGCUACUCUGCAAAAAAAAAGGUACAGGCUGUACAUGCCUUAAAGUAUAAGUAGUAACCUAAAGGGCCACAUUCAUAUAUUAGAUUCCUUCAUACAAUUCUCAAAACAAUUUGACAGAACUAUUAUGAAAAUUUUACUUUCAACACGAGUGUCUAAUUUGACGAGCUAAUGUAAAUCAGUAAAUAAAGAAAUCACUUGACAAACAAUUGAUACUAAGAAAUUCUUACCAUCUGCAGCAUGAUACUGAUCUGCCUCAACUGCUAGUAGCUUCAUUCGUUCUGUGGGAGCCCUGGAUGUGAAAGAUGUAAAGGCACCAAAUUCUCUCAGCAACCUCACCUGCUGUAUUCCUUGCAUUAUUAGGAUGUCAAUGACGGCCAUCCAUAAAUUUUACAAACUAAAGUGCAACAAAAGAAUGAAAAUGGAUAGCCAUAUUCAUGUUUUUCAAUCUUCAAAGCAUGCUAGAUAUAAAGACAACAAGAGAGGG